UGGAAGUAAAAGUCGUAACAAGGUCUCCGUUGGUGAACCAGCGGAGGGAUCAUUACCGAGUUUACAACUCCCAAACCCCAAUGUGAACGUUACCAAUCUGUUGCCUCGGCGGGAUUCUCUUGCCCCGGGCGCGUCGCAGCCCCGGAUCCCACGGCGCCCGCCGGAGGACCAACUCCAAACUCUUUUUUCUCUCCGUCGCGGCUCCCGUCGCGGCUCUGUUUUAUUUUUGCUCUGAGCCUUUCUCGGCGACCCUAGCGGGCGUCUCGAAAAUGAAUCAAAACUUUCAACAACGGAUCUCUUGGUUCUGGCAUCGAUGAAGAACGCAGCGAAAUGCGAUAAGUAAUGUGAAUUGCAGAAUUCAGUGAAUCAUCGAAUCUUUGAACGCACAUUGCGCCCGCCAGUAUUCUGGCGGGCAUGCCUGUCCGAGCGUCAUUUCAACCCUCGAACCCCUCCGGGGGGUCGGCGUUGGGGAUCGGCCCCUCACCGGGCCGCCCCCGAAAUACAGUGGCGGUCUCGCCGCAGCCUCUCCUGCGCAGUAGUUUGCACACUCGCACCGGGAGCGCGGCGCGGCCACAGCCGUAAAACACCCCAAACUUCUGAAAUGUUGACCUCGGAUCAGGUAGGAAUACCCGCUGAACUUAAGCAUAUCAAUAAGCGGAGGAA
This 663-nucleotide unclassified non-coding RNA is filed under the name Trichoderma longibrachiatum. Its description in RNAcentral is "sequence contains 18S rRNA gene, ITS1, 5.8S rRNA gene, ITS2, 28S rRNA gene". The stretch from base 279 to 432 matches the Rfam family "5.8S ribosomal RNA". The record is from RNAcentral. Lineage: Eukaryota; Fungi; Ascomycota; Sordariomycetes; Hypocreales; Hypocreaceae.